GAUGAACGCUGGCGGCGUGCUUAAUACAUGCAAGUCGAACGAGGAACACUUUGUAGCAAUACGAGGGGUUCCUAGUGGCGAAUGGGUGCGUAACACGUAGGUGACCUGCCCCGAAGUGUGGGAGUAACAGUUCGAAAGGACUGCUAAUACCGCAUGUGGUCCCGGAGGUUCGAGGCUUCGGUCUAAAGCUUCCCGCAAGGGAGGCGCUUUGGGAGGGGCCUGCGGCCCAUCAGGUAGUUGGUAGGGAACGGCCUACCAAGCCGACGACGGGUAGGGAUCUGAGAGGAUGGUCCCCCACACUGGCGACU
This 308-nucleotide ribosomal RNA is filed under the name uncultured bacterium. RNAcentral describes it as "bacterial SSU rRNA". It matches the Rfam family "Bacterial small subunit ribosomal RNA", at positions 28 to 321 of the family's 1533-position model. The record is from RNAcentral.